AUACUCUCAAUUACCUAAAGUGUUGGAACCUUUGAGUUAUCAUCAACUACUGAGACUGCAGCUGUAACCAACCGAAGUUCUCACUUGGUUCCCACUUUUCUGGGGAGACAGAGUAUCAUCUCCUCUGGGCAGAAAGCCAUGGCCACAGGAGGGAUCAAAACAGAUGAACUAUCACUGCUGGACUGGACUCUGAGAAACAAAGGCAGUGUCUCUGAAGCUGCCAGAAGCUGGCAAGAAGCAGUGCUCACUAACACUUGGAAGGACAUAAAGCAACUUGCAACCAACACAUGGAUGAGAAAUCACUGCAACUGAGUCAUGAAGGCCAGCAAUUUAUUCCUCUCUUUAUCUGCCAAGCAAGAUCAACGCAAAAUCUGGAGAUGGAAGGAACAAAAGAAGGAGGAAACAAGAACCAAACUUGAGAAAGGACUUGACCACAUGAUUGCUUCAACGUAUUCAAUUCUCAAUCAUUUAGCACACAUUUAACUCUUCUGAACAGGAAUGCUGUUCUGAAGUUGGUAGUUAAAGAAUUACAUGUUAAUUCCAUUAUUUUUAAAGUUUAUUAGUGGCAAGAGUAAGAAUGAGAAGGAGCCAACUAUCUUUCCAAAAGGAUUUUGUAUGUUCUACCCAUGCUUCUAUUUCUAAUGUUCUUCUAAAUGUUCCUCCUGCUCUUGGGCACUGUCAGAAAUGGGACAGUUGGCUAGACAAAUCUUAGGUGUGACCUACUUUUGAAAGACCUAUUUUUAUUUUAAGCUGCAUUUUUAAGAUAGUGAUAAAUGCUUUGUGACAGCUGAGCAUUAAUUUGUGUGGCAAAGACUCCAUCCCAAAGAUGCACAAAAAGACUGAGAAUCUCUUAGGGUCCAGCAUCCCAUUUUAAAAUAUUAAAACCCGUUUAUGCACAGGUGGCAGCAUUUUUGGUUUUGUUUUGUCAUUCACUAUAUUCCUACAUAGCCCAGAAAUCAGGCUACAGCAAAAAGCUUUCUGCAUAAUCUGGGAUCACCAGGGGUUUGCCAUGUUUUACAGGAAAUAAGGUCAUCUUUAUAAAUUGUUCCUGCUAAGCACUUACCAAAUAAUACAAGUUGUUCUUUCUUUAUUUUUCCCAAACAAAAAAAAUAAAGUGCUGAAUUAAUUUCCACAAACAUAACAAACCUAAUCUAAUGGUUCUGCAGUUGGCCAUCUGUUUCACAGAUACGAAUCUAACUGAAUCUUCUACUGACUGAUAAUUUUCAAAAUUAAAUUAAAUUGUCAAUGCUGACCCUGCUUCCAGCUUAGUUCCUCCUGCUUCCAUUUAAAGGGUUGGGAGUGCUUUCUGUAUCAUGAUCUAUAUCCCAAUUAGAUGGAAGACAACUGGUAAUAGUUGAAGCUACACACUUGGCACCAGAUCAAACUUAAAGGGGCAGAGAAGGGCAGCGUCCCCAGCUAUGAUGCAGCCUAAGGGAAUAUAGCAAAAAAGUUCCAGAGUACAGAUGUUAUAGCAAAAACUUUAGUUCCCCUUUCUCUAGUACAGUCUACAUCACAAAGAUCUUUUCAACCAAAUGGACUCGUAUAUUUAUGAAUAAUUUAAAAAAUACUCCCCCUAAUGGAAAAGAGUCACCCUCUGUACCUAAGUUUAGUUUAGCAGUAUAUAUUUAAAAAAAAAAAAUCAGUAUUUUAUCCCUAAAGCCCAUUUACAGACAUGCUAGCCAAGACCCCAGUUACCAGUUCACUGUCUUUGGGAUGAAGAAUGAUCGUCUGAACGAUAUAAGAGGAAAAUUCUGCUUCUUCAUUUCCCACUGACCUUAUGCUUUGCUGGAGAGAAGGAGGAAGGGGGAUGCUACUUCCAUCAAAGCCAGUUGGUGUGCGCACUGCUGGAGGCAGGAUGCUCAUAGACUCAGUAAACGAUCAGCCUGAUCUGCAAUGGCAAAUCCUAUGCUCCUAAUUAGAGAGGUUCACUACAGUGACACCAGCCUAUGUUUUCAUUGAUCUGGGAAUUAAAAUCAACGCUGUAGGGUUUUACUAGAAAUUCUGACACUGAACUUUUAACACAACCUUCUACCAAAAAAAAGAAAUCCAGUAAAGUAAAAUUUACAGCAGACUGGAAUUAAUAAUUUAAAACUGUAUUUUAUGGUUGAUGAAGAAAAUGAUAGUACAGGCACAAUUCCCACAAGCAUAGGCGGUUUGGGCAUCUCUGCCUGGGAGCUUCCUUGCGUAGCCAUCGGCCACUUGAAGGCCUUCUGUACCUUCCUGGAAAAACCAUUCAAGUAAAAGAAAUAAUUUUUGCACCGCUCCUGAAGCUUUCUUCAGAAAUAUAUAUAGCACAAUCCUUUAAUAGAACUGUCAUGAGGCAGAUCAACUGUAGAUUUCAUCAAUUUACAGCAGAGAGAGUUUUAACAUAAAGACUUUUAGUGGGAAUUUCCAAUUCUUGAACUGCAUGACCUACCAGGCUAAGACUCUGUUAUCAGUUCCUUAUGAUAUCUGUUGAUUCAUCCCUUUUUAAAAUGCAGAUGGUUGAAAUAUUUCUAUUGUUAUUGAUACUCCUUUAACAAUUAUAUGGCAUCAAGGAGGUUGAUCAAAAGACCUGCAAGCUCUGGAAAAUUCAAAAAGCACAAGGCAAUGACAGCAGAAUAUCCUCACAGGGGCCUCCAUCAGUCCAAUUUCAAUGUAAUUCCAUGCACACCUACAGAAUCCCAUUCUCUGUUUGAUAUCCUGCAUAUAGUUUCCCAUUUAGUCCUGGUUUUGCCUGAACACCUACACCUAGGAAAGUGUUACUCCAGCAAACUUAUGUUCCUUAAAUUAGCUGAGUAAAAGGUUUAAAGAGCAGAAAAAUUACAUGGAAUUGACAGGCAAUAAACUCCUGUAACUAAUCUUUGUGGUCAUUUUA
Molecule: long non-coding RNA, 2857 nt
Organism: Pseudopipra pipra
Lineage: Eukaryota; Metazoa; Chordata; Aves; Passeriformes; Pipridae
Exons: 3
Source: RefSeq, a predicted model, not a curated record